UGGGGAAUUUUGCACAAUGGGGGAAACCCUGAUGCAGCGACGCCGCGUGAUUUAGAAGGCCUUCGGGUUGUAAAAAUCUUUUCUAUGGGAAGAAAAUGACAGUACCAUAGGAAUAAGGACCGGCUAAUUACGUGCCAGAAGCCGCGGUAAUACGUAAGGUCCGAGCGUUGUCCGGAAUCAUUGGGCGUAAAGGGUACGUAGGCGGGUAAGCAAGUUAGAAGUGAAAUCCUAUAGCUCAAAUAUAGUAAGCUUUUAAAACUGCUCAUCUUGAGGUAUGGAAGGGAAAGUGGAAUUCCUAGUGUAGCGGUGAAAUGCGCAGAUAUUAGGAGGAAUACCGGUGGCGAAGGCGACUUUCUGGCCAUAACCUGACGCUGAGGUACGAAAGCGUGGGUAGCAACAAGG
Molecule: ribosomal RNA, 402 nt
Filed under: bacterium
Lineage: Bacteria
Description: partial 16S ribosomal RNA
Rfam family: Bacterial small subunit ribosomal RNA
Source: RNAcentral